Molecule: long non-coding RNA, 5221 nt
Organism: Lagopus muta (rock ptarmigan)
Lineage: Eukaryota; Metazoa; Chordata; Aves; Galliformes; Phasianidae
Exons: 2
Source: RefSeq, a predicted model, not a curated record
UUAAGGGUUGGUAGUGGGAGUAAAAGGCUCUUACUUGGAGAUCCCUACCUACCUGAGGUUUUCGAAGGUAUGGGGUGCAGUUGCCCAUGUUCUGGGACUGCAAACAGCCCUGCAGAUGUCAUGGUCAGUGAAGAAGUUGGAAGAAUGGAGAUGAUCCUGGCACUGGAGCAGUUUCCUCUGCAGCCAGUGGAUGGCACAACGAUGGAGUGGUUUGUCCUGGAAGACUGCAGCUUGUGGAGAAUUACUCUGAAUCAGGGGAGGAAACUUGAGGGGAGAGAAGUGGUAAAGAUGUGGACUGACUAUGAUUGUCAUUCCCUCGCAUCACAGCAGGGCAGGCAGCGGAGUCAGGAAUGUAGGAGUGAAACUGAGCUUAGAAAAGGGAGGAGAGCUGGCUAAACAGUGUUAACUAUUAUAUCUGUUUUUCAAUAUGAAUAUUUGUUUUACAUUGGUGACUCUGCAUUGCUUUCUAUUUAUUUCCAUGGAUACUACAACAGAUACAAAGAGAACAAUGCUACUACUAGGUAGAGCAAAUUCUCAACUACGAAAAGCUAUUUUUCAACAGUCACCAUCAAUAGCUAGUGCUUUUGCUAGAGAAGAACAAGAGCCUGCGUGUCAUGCUGCAAUGAUGGUGUCAUUAUUGAGAAAAUGCUGCCCAUUCUGUUCAUCUUUCAUUAGCCCAAACAGAUGAAAAUCAGUGUCAAAUUUAAACUGUAUGGUGGGUACAGUAGGACAGAUCGCCAAGACUGGUGAUGUGCUCCAUGGUCUUCAAUCCAGCAUGGGACCUUGUAUUAUCGUGUUUCAAGAGAAAGGUUGUCGUCUUCUCCAGCCUAACUCUGGAAGUUUGAGGCUUCAGCUUAGUCAGCAUCGCAAUACAGUGGUCAGAGUUGAUGUUGUCCAGGUUCCAGGAAAUCCAGAAGGAUCACAUCCCUAACCCAAAAGAUCACGCACGUCACUUUACCCAUUUUGGGAUGCAUCUUGAACUUUUUCUUUGAUGGGGAAACUCAAACAUUAUUACUCCAUAGGCUGCUGUUUUAACUCCAGCUCAGAGUAGUGACACAUCUUGUCAUCAGUAAUGAUCCAGGAAACGGUAGCACCUUCAACCUCAUACUGGUUCAGUAGGUUCUGACAACUUUGUGUGCCACUCUUUCUGUUUCUCUGCAAGUCUUCAUGGGACCCAUCUGUUACAAACUUUUUGCUAUUCCACUGUUGUCACUAUUAUUUCCAAGUCUUUGAAGCCCAUAUUCAGAUCUCUACAUAGCUCUCAGGUUGUCAUCUGACAAUAUGUGCAGAUAAGCUGAUUGAGAUGUUCUUCAUUUUUGUGGUGGGACAGCCAAAAGGUAUAACUCAGUUACAAAAAUGAAGGAAAUAGUUAAUAGUUGCCUAUCAACUAAAAGAUUCAUUAGUGAAAUACCGAAAUAUAAUCAUGAAGUUUAAAAUUCUGAUCUGAGGAAAAAAAAACUACAGGACAGUAUCAUUAUUGCACAGUCAUCAUUGUGACUGUGAAAUUAUUUUAAACAAAGUUUAAGGUAUAAUUCGCUUCUUGUACAUGUCUAUAUGUUUAUCAGAUUUCUAAGAUAAAUGCUUAUAAUGCUGUCAUUCUGAAAUAAUUACAUGUUGUUCAAAUCCCUAAUAUCCUACUAUAACAGAAAGAAAUGUAUUAAAGGAUUUUUGUGGUAAAUUCUCAAUAUCUGUAAUGGAGCAAGUCCUGCUUUGGCAGCUUGAUUAUUGAAGAACUUUGUACGUUUCCAGACAUUUGGAAUAUAAAAGCAUAUCCUCCUGAGAGCUAAUGAGAUAGUCAAAUAUACUUUAACAUGUCUUGGAUUCUUAAAGAUGCUUCAUGACAUUAGUGGUAUGUCUGUAUAUUUAUUUGCAACCAAUUAGCUGAUCAUUACUCUGAGCCAUCUAAAAAUACUUGCAGGAAGAAUAUAGUAGUAGUUCAGGUCAAACACUUCAGAGUUGUUCUCUCAUCUCAUCCUUUGGAAAAGGAGCAUUUCUGUUGUAAUUAAUUUUAACAGUUUGGACAAUCAGUUCUGGAGUCACUGUUACUUGUCUUAGCCUCACUAGCUAUCUUGUAGCUAGAUGACAUUAGCUCUCUCACUAUACUGUAAUUUAGCUCCAAGUUUUUUUUCUCACGUUCUGAGUCUGGGCUAUUUUCUUUUGUAGUUUAUUUCUUUUGAAACUGUUCAGAAUAAAAUUUCUUUUUAAGAGCACAGAACUGAUUUACCGCAUUUCCAUCAAUAUGUCAACGCUGUGUUUUACUGUAGUUAUGGGAAUAUUAAAUGAACAAAGGUUGUUGUCAGCAGAAUUCAUUUCUCAAAAUCAAGAUCUAAUUCACAGCAUGUUUUUACAGCAACAUCAUCUUUUAUAAUGUCAGACUUUAAAUGAAUGUACUUUUAGAGUAUUCGGAGUCUAUUGGUUGUCAAAUAUAAUAACACUUUUGAAACUACAGAAACAACUUUUCAAUGUAUGUCAAGAUAGAUCCUUCAGUCAAUUUAAAGGAGUUCACACAUGGGACUCAGUUCUCUAGUAAUCAGUGCAACAACCGUGUGUUCUAUGGGAGAUAUGAGAUACACUCUGAGUUUCUCUAAAUGUCAAUCAUAUUGCAAGACAAUGGUUAGUACACUUUUUUUUAUUGGAAAGACUAGUGGAAUCAGGGCAUCAACCUGGAUAUAAAAUCUAAAAUAUGCACAGGUACAAGGAUUAAACAUUAUCUAGCUAUAACUUUAAAGGUCCAUAUGAACUUAUGAUAUUGUACCAUGACAAAACUGAAAGCAGCUAGAAAGCAAGAAGAGAGGAAAGGAGACAAGGAUAAAAGACAGUGGGGGGGGAAAAACAUCAGGAUACUGGACUAAAAGUAGGAAGGACAUUAAGAAUAACAGUAGUUUCUAGGAGAAGAGAAUAUCUUCAAUUUAAGAAAAUAAGAGGACAAAGUAUGUUUAAGUAUGUUUAAAGUACGACAAAGCUGAUUAAAAUAAAACAGAUGAGGAGAUAAACAGUUGUAAAACUAGUUUUUGUUAGUUCCAUUCCUCUAAUAAUCUGCUGAAAUAGAAUAAUAAAUUUAUUAGGGCCAAGCUAUGGUUCCCCACAUUACAGGUACAAUUUUCAACUUUGUAUUUGUUUUUCUAAUAAAAUGUAUUAACUCCCCCACUUAUAAAAGGGAAAUUAAGCUAUACAAGAAAUACACUUAUUCAAAAAUAUUUAAUGAACAAUGGUUGUAUGAGUAAUAGAAAUUAAAAAUGAAAUGCUAAAUUUUUUCGUUUCAAAACUUCUUCCAAGUUUUUCCAAGAUUUCACAUUGCAAUUUCCUGGAUCUCAAUUUGUGAGAAGUUAGACAUCUCUGCCAUAAGAAACAUCUUCACUUACAGGUACAGCAGCAGAAAAACAGUAGACCCUAGCCAGAAAAAUGGUCAGUUACUAAACUUUUUUGUUUCUGUCACAAAUGAAUGGUUGAGAACUAUAACUUUUCUUCCUCUGAUCUAAAUAAUAUUAAUAUCUUGGGUAAUCUGUGGCAUGUCCUAAAUCUGUGGAACACUACAGAAGAUUUUUGUGUAAAUAUAUAUAUACACAUAUAUUAGAGAAGGAGUAAGAAUGAGCUACUAUAAUUGUGAAUUGAGAGGAAACAUGAAUUUGUGAUGCAGUUAAUGAACAAUGGCUUCUUCUGAGCUAUCAUUCAAUGUUUGUCAUAUAUGAUUCAUUCUUGUAAUAGAAAGCCUAAUUUUCCCAAUGAGACUUGACAGUUUUCUUGAACUAGUUUCGAAGGUGAUAUAUCUGCUGUGAGUUUAGACUGAUGUUUCUCUGGCAGUGUUAUGUAUGACAUUUUCUGUUGAUCUGAGAAGGGAAGAUAGAAACAAGACCACAACUUUAUGAAAAGCCCAUAGAUUUUUUUUUAUUAUUAUUUUAUUUUUUGCAGAAAAUGAAAGAAAUUUCAGCCUGACCUUUGAUGGGGGGAAAAAAGACACCACUUCAGAGCAUCUCGCCAAACAAACAAACUGACACUUCUGUAAUAACACUUUGCAGCUUGAACAUUUGCUUGAUGUUUAAAUUGAUCAUGUGGCAACAAAAUGUCAGGAUGCUAUUCAUAAGCAUACAGAUUAUUCUGUACAAAAAUUUUAUUAGGAAUAUUUAGGAAUGCAAAGAAAGAUUCAGGAAGGGGUAGAUGCUUAUUGUGCUUGCAUAUCAGAAAGCUAUUGAACUGUUGCACAUAUAGAUACCUGACAUGUAUAAAGCAAUGGGAUGUGAGUGGUUCACAGAAAAAAAAAGCAAGUAGAAUGAUGUUGUCAUUAAAGCAAUAAUUAUGAGGAAAGAAUUUAUUUUACUGUUUGAUAAUUCUAAUCAUAAUAUGCUUUGUUUCUCACUAAAGAUAAAAAGAAAGUACAGAAUGCAAUGCAAGAAAUAUAGGAUUCAGAUGAAGAAAAAAUAAGUUCAGUGACAUUUUUACAGGUAUAUUUCUGUGCUUAACCUUUUUUGCCAUCAAUCUACCAUUUCCAUUACUGCACAUCUUGCUAAGCCUAUGUCAAAACAUAUUAUAGAUCUUGUUUGAAUGAGAUCUUGUAAAUUCCUUUCCUUAUGAACAGAAGUUAUUGCAAAUCUAUAAUGUGUAUGUUAAUAUAGAAAUUAAUGGCUAGAAACAGUAUUUAUAUUGGAAAAAAAUAAGUUCUAUGCAGUUACAUUCCUAUCACUGAACCAGUCCCAUUGUAUAUUUUCUUAUAUAUGGAAUGUACCUCAAAAAAGCAGUGCAUGGCUUCCACUAAAAUGAGAGCCAAACUGGACAUUAUCACUCAUCAAGAAACAAAGAAUGAACUGAGAACAAGACAAGACUAUAUAACGUUCAGCUUGCCUGUGCAUGACCAGUGAGAUCAAAAAGAAGCUUACCUCAAUGAAUACAUUAGCUGCUAAGUCUUUGCCUAGAUAGUUUUAUAUAGAAACUCACGUUGGCAUACAGCCAUAUUUCUCUUUUGAAGUAAGGCAUUCAGCAUGAAAGCAACAUUUUAAAUCAAACUCUGACAAGUAGGAGAAAUUUUAGACAAGCAAUAAAAAUCAUUAAAGCUCAGAAAAUAAGUGAGGCUAACAGAACAAAACUAUUCUGAGGGAAAAAAAAAAUGGAUGGAAUAAGACAGGACCGUCUACAAAUACAUAAAGUGAUAUUAAAAAAUGGGCUAGGAUCAAUUAUUUCCCUAGUCAACACCAAAAGGAAAGGAGGAAAAAAAAAAAAAGGAACAGAA